CUUCUGGACUGGAUCCGUUGCCGGUUGGAGUCGAACUUUGAAUAGAUAUAGCUACGGAGAACAUCAUGCUAUCAACUGAAGAAAAAGCCGCCAUCCUGAAAGAUUAUGGCCGCGCUGAA
This is a regulatory RNA element of gamma proteobacterium HTCC5015, 119 nucleotides long. It matches the Rfam family "Ribosomal S15 leader". From Rfam's summary of the family: The E. coli Ribosomal S15 gene 5' UTR can form two alternative structures. One that is a series of three hairpins, The other includes a pseudoknot. Lineage: Bacteria; Pseudomonadati; Pseudomonadota; Gammaproteobacteria. The record is from Rfam.